UACCAGCUCUCCGAGUAGUGUGGAUGUUUAUUGGGCCUAAAGCAUCCGUAGCUUGCUAAGCAAGUCCCCUGUUGAAUCCACCGAUUUAAUCGUUGGAUUGCGGGGGAUACUGUUUGGCUAGGGGACGGGAGAGGCCGACGGUAUUUCCGGGGUAGGGGUGAAAUCCUAUAAUCCCGGGAAGACCACCAGUGGCGAAGGCUGUCGGCUAGAACGCGCCCGACGGUGAGGGAUGAAAGCUGGGGGAGCGAACCGGAUUAGAUACCCGGGUAGUCCCAGCUGUAAACGACGCAGGCUAGGUGUUUGGGCGGCCACGAGCCGCCCUAGUGCCGCAGGGAAGCUGUUAAGCCUGCCGCCUGGGGAGUACGGCCGCAAGGCUGAAACUUAAGGAAUUGGCGGGGAGCACCACAAGGGGUGAAGGCUUGCGGUUU
RNAcentral lists this ribosomal RNA (428 nucleotides) under uncultured archaeon. Its description in RNAcentral is "bacterial SSU rRNA". It matches the Rfam family "Archaeal small subunit ribosomal RNA", at positions 474 to 903 of the family's 1478-position model. The record is from RNAcentral.